Molecule: ribosomal RNA, 773 nt
Filed under: uncultured Neocallimastigales
Lineage: Eukaryota; Fungi; Neocallimastigomycota; Neocallimastigomycetes; Neocallimastigales
Description: partial large subunit ribosomal RNA
Rfam family: Eukaryotic large subunit ribosomal RNA
Source: RNAcentral
UAUGUGAUCGUCUCUCGCAUAUCAAUAAGCGGAGGAAAAGAAACUAACGAGGAUUCCCCUAGUAACGGCGAGUGAAGCGGGAAGAGCUCAAAUUUGAAAUCUUAAAGGGUUUCCCUUUACGAAUUGUAGUUUAAAGAAGUGUUUUCUGUUGAGGUUUUGGUAAAAGUUCUUUGGAAUAGGACAUCAUAGAGGGUGAGAAUCCCGUAUUUGACCUUUACUUUCAACUUUGUGAUACACUUUCAAAGAGUCGGAUUGUUUGGGAAUGCAGUCCGAAAUGGGUGGUAAAUUUCAUCUAAAGCUAAAUAUUGGCGAGAGACCGAUAGCGAACAAGUACCGUGAGGGAAAGAUGAAAAGAACUUUGAAAAGAGAGUUAAACAGUACGUGAAAUUGUCAAAAGGGAAGCGUUUGACACCAGUGUUGUUUUUCUGAAAAUCAAUUAAAGAACUGCUUAUGCUAAGUUGUUUAGACUUUAUCAGCUAUCUGUUUAGUUUUGAGCUUUUCUUUAGUGCACUUUUCAGUUAACAAGUCAACAUCAAUUUCUUUUGCUGUAAAAAAGCUUGAGGAAGGUGGCUUGAGAUUCGUCUUAAGUGUUUAUAGCCUCUUGCCUAUGCAGUCGGAGAGAUUGAGGUCUGCAGCGUAGAUCCUUCGGGGCUAAAUGCAUUUGUGCUAAGUUAUAGCAUUUUAUAGACAACUUGUUGACUAUGAUUUGUCUUGUAGCUUACUCGCUUAUGUUAUUUUACCUACGCUUAGGAUGUUGAAGACUCUACAGAGAU